This 90-nucleotide transfer RNA is filed under the name Hepatozoon canis. RNAcentral describes it as "tRNA-Ser". It matches the Rfam family "tRNA". Rfam says of the family: Transfer RNA (tRNA) molecules are approximately 80 nucleotides in length. The record is from RNAcentral. Lineage: Eukaryota; Apicomplexa; Hepatozoidae.
AGAAAGAUGACUGAGUUGGUUUAAAGUAAAGAAAUGCUAGUUCUUAAUUCAUUAUUAAAUGAAUCAAGGGUUCGAAUCCCUUUCUUUCUA